Molecule: ribosomal RNA, 438 nt
Filed under: Pseudomonas veronii
Lineage: Bacteria; Pseudomonadati; Pseudomonadota; Gammaproteobacteria; Pseudomonadales; Pseudomonadaceae
Description: bacterial SSU rRNA
Rfam family: Bacterial small subunit ribosomal RNA
Source: RNAcentral
UGCAAGUCGAGCGGUAGAGAGAAGCUUGCUUCUCUUGAGAGCGGCGGACGGGUGAGUAAUGCCUAGGAAUCUGCCUGGUAGUGGGGGAUAACGUUCGGAAACGGACGCUAAUACCGCAUACGUCCUACGGGAGAAAGCAGGGGACCUUCGGGCCUUGCGCUAUCAGAUGAGCCUAGGUCGGAUUAGCUAGUUGGUGAGGUAAUGGCUCACCAAGGCGACGAUCCGUAACUGGUCUGAGAGGAUGAUCAGUCACACUGGAACUGAGACACGGUCCAGACUCCUACGGGAGGCAGCAGUGGGGAAUAUUGGACAAUGGGCGAAAGCCUGAUCCAGCCAUGCCGCGUGUGUGAAGAAGGUCUUCGGAUUGUAAAGCACUUUAAGUUGGGAGGAAGGGCAGUUACCUAAUACGUGAUUGUUUUGACGUUACCGACAGAAUAA